CACGUAGGGUGCGAGCGUUGUCCGGAAUUAUUGGGCGUAAAGAGCUCGUAGGCGGUGUGUCGCGUCGGCCGUGAAAACCUGCAGCUUAACUGUGGGCGUGCGGUCGAUACGGGCAUCACUGGAGUUCGGCAGGGGAGACUGGAAUUCCUGGUGUAGCGGUGAAAUGCGCAGAUAUCAGGAGGAACACCGAUGGCGAAGGCAGUUCUCUGGGCCGUAACUGACGCUGAGGAGCGAAAGCGUGGGGAGCGAUCCGG
Molecule: ribosomal RNA, 254 nt
Filed under: uncultured bacterium
Lineage: Bacteria
Description: partial 16S ribosomal RNA
Rfam family: Bacterial small subunit ribosomal RNA
Source: RNAcentral